This 519-nucleotide ribosomal RNA is filed under the name uncultured bacterium. RNAcentral's name for it is "bacterial SSU rRNA". It matches the Rfam family "Bacterial small subunit ribosomal RNA", at positions 8 to 518 of the family's 1533-position model. The record is from RNAcentral.
AGAGUUGAUUCUGGCUCAGGAUGAACGCUAGCGACAGGCUUAACACAUGCAAGUCGAGGGGCAGCACGGGAGUAGCAAUACAACUGGUGGCGACCGGCGCACGGGUGAGUAACGCGUAUGCAACCUACCUAUCAGAGGGGAAUAACCCGGCGAAAGUCGGACUAAUACCGCAUAAAACAGGGGCACCGCAUGGUGAUAUUUGUUAAAGAAAUUCGCUGAUAGAUGGGCAUGCGUUCCAUUAGGUAGUUGGUGAGGUAACGGCUUACCAAGCCGACGAUGGGUAGGGGAACUGAGAGGUUGGUCCCCCACACUGGUACUGAGACACGGACCAGACUCCUACGGGAGGCAGCAGUGAGGAAUAUUGGUCAAUGGGCGAGAGCCUGAACCAGCCAAGUCGCGGUAGAAGGAAGAAGGAUCUAUGGUUCGUAAACUUCUUUGCAGGGGAAUAAAGUGCAGGACGUGUCCUGUUUUGUAUGUACCCUGAGAAUAAGGAUCGGCUAACUCCGUGCCAGCCGCCGC